This 468-nucleotide ribosomal RNA is filed under the name uncultured bacterium. RNAcentral describes it as "partial 16S ribosomal RNA". It matches the Rfam family "Bacterial small subunit ribosomal RNA", at positions 28 to 507 of the family's 1533-position model. The record is from RNAcentral.
GAUGAACGCUGGCGGCGUGCUUAACACAUGCAAGUCGAACGGAAAGGCUCCUGCUUUCAGGGGUACUCGAGUGGCGAACGGGUGAGUAACACGUGGGUAAUCUGCCCUUCACUUCGGGAUAAGCCCGGGAAACUGGGGCUAAUACCGGAUAGGACGAUCGGCUGCAUGGCAUGGUGUAGAGAUUUUCGGCGGUGGGGGAUGGGCUCGCGGCUUAUCAGCUUGUUGGUGGGGUAGUGGCCUACCAAGGCGUCGACGGGUAGCCGGCCUGAGAGGGUGAACGGCCACAUUGGGACUGAGAUACGGCCCAGACUCCUACGGGAGGCAGCAGUGGGGAAUAUUGCACAAUGGGCGGAAGCCUGAUGCAGCGACGCCGCGUGGGGGAUGACGGCCUUCGGGUUGUAAACUGCUUUCGCUAGGGACGAAGCGCGAGUGACGGUAACGGGAGAAGAAGCACCGGCUAACUACGUG